AUUGAACGCUGGCGGCAGGCCUAACACAUGCAAGUCGAACGAGAGGCGGGCGGGUGAGCAAUGAAUGGGAAACUGCCUGAUGGAGGGGGAUAACAAAGGGGAACGGUAGCUAAUAACGUAUAGCAUCGGAUGUGACCGAAUGGGAUUGACUUGGUGGUGGGGUAACGGCUGACCAAGGCGACGAUCCCUAGCUGGUCUGAGAGGUGGACCAGCCACACUGGAACUGAGACACGGUCCAGACUCCUACGGGAGGCAGCAGUGGGGAAUAUUGGACAAUGGGCGAAAGCCUGAUGCAGCCAUGCCGCGUGUAUGAAGAAGGUCUUCGGAUUGGAAAGUACUUUCAGCGGGGAGGCGUUACCCGCAGAAUAAGCACCGGCUAACUCCGUGCCAGCAGCCGCGGUAAUUC
RNAcentral lists this ribosomal RNA (406 nucleotides) under uncultured bacterium. Its description in RNAcentral is "partial 16S ribosomal RNA". It matches the Rfam family "Bacterial small subunit ribosomal RNA", at positions 29 to 526 of the family's 1533-position model. The record is from RNAcentral.